CCUACGGGAGACUGCAGUGAGGAAUAUUGGUCAAUGGGCGCAAGCCUGACCCAGCCAAGUAGCGUGAAGGAUGACUGCCCUACGGGUUGUAAACUUCUUUUAUAAAGGAGUAAAGUGAGGCGCGUGUGCCUUUUUGUAUAUACUUUAUGAAUAAGGAUCGGCUAACUCCGUGCCAGCAGCCGCGGUAAUACGGAGGAUCCGAGCGUUAUCCGGAUUUAUUGGGUUUAAAGGGAGCGUAGAUGGGUUGUUAAGUCAGUUGUGAAAGUCUGCGGCUCAACCGUAAAAUUGCAAUUGAUACUGGCAGUCUUGAGUACAGGUGAGGUAGGCGGAAUUCGUGGUGUAGCGGUGAAAUGCGUAGAUAUAACGAAGAACUCCGAUUGCGAAGGCAGCUUACUAAACGGCCACUGACAGUGAUGCUCGAAAGUGUGGGUAGCAAACAGGAUUAGAUACCCGGGUAGUC
RNAcentral lists this ribosomal RNA (460 nucleotides) under uncultured bacterium. Its description in RNAcentral is "partial 16S ribosomal RNA". It matches the Rfam family "Bacterial small subunit ribosomal RNA", at positions 338 to 795 of the family's 1533-position model. The record is from RNAcentral.